This 253-nucleotide ribosomal RNA is filed under the name uncultured bacterium. Its description in RNAcentral is "partial 16S ribosomal RNA". It matches the Rfam family "Bacterial small subunit ribosomal RNA", at positions 524 to 776 of the family's 1533-position model. The record is from RNAcentral.
GACGGAGGAUGCAAGUGUUAUCCGGAAUCACUGGGCGUAAAGCGUCUGUAGGUGGUCAAAUAAGUCAGAUGUUAAAUCUUGAGGCUCAACCUCAAAAUCGCAGUCGAAACUAUUAGACUAGAGUAUAGUAGGGGUAAAGGGAAUUUCCAGUGGAGCGGUGAAAUGCGUAGAGAUUGGAAAGAACACCGAUGGCGAAGGCACUUUACUGGGCUAUUACUAACACUCAGAGACGAAAGCUAGGGUAGCAAAUGGG